GAUAAACGCUGGCGGCGUGCAUAACACAUGCAAGUCGAACGAUGAAACUUAAAUGAUCUCUUCGGAGUGACUUUAAGUGGAUUAGUGGCGGACGGGUGAGUAACGCGUGAGUAACCUGCCUUGCACAAGGGGAUAGCCGUUGGAAACGACGAAUAAUACCCUAUGAUAUGAUAGUCUCGCAUGAGAUUAUCAUCAAAGAUUUACCGGUGUAAGAUGGACUCGCGUCUGAUUAGCUAGUCGGUGGGGUAACUGCUCACCAAGGCAACGAUCAGUAGCCGGCUUGGGAGAGUGUACGGCCACAUUGGGACUGAGACACGGCCCAGACUCCUACGGGAGGCAGCAGUGGGGAAUUUUGCACAAUGGGGGAAACCCUGAUGCAGCGACGCCGCGUGAUUUAGAAGGCCUUCGGGUUGUAAAAAUCUUUUGUAUGGGAAGAAAAUGACAGUACCAUACGAAUAAGGACCGGCUAAUUACGUGCCAGCCGCCGCAGUAA
This 493-nucleotide ribosomal RNA is filed under the name uncultured bacterium. RNAcentral's name for it is "partial 16S ribosomal RNA". It matches the Rfam family "Bacterial small subunit ribosomal RNA", at positions 28 to 523 of the family's 1533-position model. The record is from RNAcentral.